GUAAGCUUGACAGGUCCUGCAGAGUCUUCCACCCCCAGCCCGGGAUGCAUUAGGCACAGAUGACUUCCCCACACACUAAGCAGAUAAAACCACGAGGCAGCACCGCUCCUUUGAAGGAAGCCAGGCCGUAAUUCUACUCCCUCAAGGUCACCGCAGGCCAGCACCACGUGCAGCAGAGUUACACCAGGUCUGGGCCAUGACAGGCUGUGGCGUGCACCCCUCACCACCACAGCAACGCACUUUUUAAUACCCGGAAUGACCACUCCACAGGCAAACACACUUCUUAGCACCCAGACCGCCAGCUCUGAAGCGGACAAAGCGGGCAGCGAGUGGGGUGACCCGGUUUCCCCGGGUGUCCCGCUCGCCGUACCGCGGAAGGGCCGGGCGCUCCCGCAGCGGGGCGCACCGCCCGCUCCCGCCGGGGGCUGCGAGCCCCGCGCCCGCCGCCGCGCCGCCGCCCGACCCCUUCCGAAGGAGCCGCAGCGCCCGAGCCGGGCCGCGCGGCGCCGGUACCGAGCCGGCACCCAACCGCUGCCCAUUGGGACCCCCCCGCGGCCCGCUCCCUGCCUUUUUCUCCCUCCCCGGCCUCCAGCACCCUGCUCCCAGCGGAGGCACUCACCGCAGCUCACCCCGGCCGCCCCUGGCCCUAUAAAGGCGGCCGGGGGAAGGCGGCGCGGGCCCCCGCGGCCCCGGGGAAGCGGGAAACGUUCACUGUCCAGGAAGAUGAACAUCAGCUCUUCUGAAGCAUCCUCCUGGAAUAGCACCCAAAGCUACAGAAACAAGACCAUCAAAACUCACCCAGCACCUUGCAGUAGAUGUUGCCCAGGCUAUUUGGAGAGGUAGGUCAACCCAUACAGUGUCACAUGGGGAUUGCACGAGGAGGAAAAAGUAAGAUGGCUUCUGCAUGUAAGGCCAUGCAGUUAUUUAAUUGCAGACAGAUUUUGUCCAGAAAAAGAAGGCAGUCAGGUCCUUAAUUUUUAACAUAUAGAAAGCACCAUCCAGCUGUGUUGGUUGUUUAUUUGUUUGUUAAAAGCAAUUUGGGAUCUCUGGAGGAUCUGGAACUGUGAUGCAGCCCACACAGAGCACAGAAAAAAAGUGUCAUUGAUACCUUUGCUCUUUUUAGGACUUCAGAUUACUCUGUGGGUCCAAGUGGCCAGUGGUAUAAAUUUGAUUAUCUCUGAUUCACAGAAACUACCCAUUAUGAGGAAGAAAAAAGCUCAAAGUCACUUUUUCCCCUUCCCUUUGUGGCAUGUGCUUUCUGCAUUAUACAUGUGAGCAGUGUGAUUCUCAUCUGCCACGCAUGUGGUAGGAGAGCACAGGUGUAAAAGCCAUUCCAGAGGCAUAAAGGACCUUCACUCUUCCCUGGGUACCUGAGAAGAAGAAAGGUACUCUAAGAAGCAGAGGAGCAAACAGGGGUUGGAUGCCAAAACAGUGGAACCAAAUACGCACCACAAGUGCAGAACUGGAUGAAACCAGUGGCUUGGGGUCUUAUAUCUAAUGUUUUCAGCACCACAAACUUUAGAGAAAGGUGAGAGGCACUUCAACCGGCUUGCUGUAAAGGAAGUUGCUUUUAAAUCUCAUAAAACAAUUUAUGUUCUGAAAUACAAGAUCAUCUGUCCUUCAGAGGGGUUGACCUUGGUCUUCAGAUGUCACCACAGGAUGGCUUGGGUUGGAAGGGACCUCAAAGAUCAUAGGCAGGGAUGCCAUAGCAGUACUGUUCUGGAUGUUAUCUUUUUGAUUUGUUUAUAUCUUUAUUGUUAAAAAAAAAAAAAAAAAAGAGGAAAAAAGACACUUUUUGGUAUUUAAAUCAGCAGUUGGCAAAAGUAUCAAAAAACACGUACUUAACUCUGGGGGAUCUGGCAUUGGUAGGCCAUCCUCCCAUUGAGGCACGAUUGGUGUCGCUAUCCCAGAGCCAACUUGAUGACUAUUCAGUGAUGGAAAUAAUUAGAGUUAGCUCAUUAACAGAGACAUAAAUGAACGUGAAUCUAUUUUCCUCCACAAAAUCUUUCAAGGCAGGGCUGCAGACAGAAGCCAGUACAAGCACCUGUCUUGCCGACUCCUUAACACUGCGCCUUCCCUGAGCACACCGCGCCUCUGCAGCGUGUAAAAGCUUUAAAAACUAAAAACUUCCCAACAAUUCCCAAGCUCUCGCUGUGCUGGGGACAAAACGCGACAAAAAACGCGACAGGGCAAGGCGGAACCCUCGGCUCGGGGCUGCUGUUCCCGGCCGGCGGCGCUGUGGAGGGGGCCGGGAGCUC
This 2258-nucleotide long non-coding RNA is filed under the name Cairina moschata (Muscovy duck). Its description in RNAcentral is "domestica (muscovy Duck (domestic type)) lncRNA (ENSCMMG00000001805.1)". The record is from RNAcentral. Lineage: Eukaryota; Metazoa; Chordata; Aves; Anseriformes; Anatidae.